This 430-nucleotide ribosomal RNA is filed under the name Actinomycetes bacterium. Its description in RNAcentral is "Actinobacteria bacterium partial 16S ribosomal RNA". It matches the Rfam family "Bacterial small subunit ribosomal RNA", at positions 355 to 776 of the family's 1533-position model. Lineage: Bacteria; Bacillati; Actinomycetota; Actinomycetes. The record is from RNAcentral.
UGGGGAAUAUUGGACAAUGGGGGGAACCCUGAUCCAGCCAUGCCGCGUGUGUGAAGAAGGCCUUUUGGUUGUAAAGCACUUUAAGCGAGGAGGAGGCUACCGAGAUUAAUACUCUUGGAUAGUGGACGUUACUCGCAGAAUAAGCACCGGCUAACUCUGUGCCAGCAGCCGCGGUAAUACAGAGGGUGCAAGCGUUAAUCGGAUUUACUGGGCGUAAAGCGCGCGUAGGUGGCCAAUUAAGUCAAAUGUGAAAUCCCCGAGCUUAACUUGGGAAUUGCAUUCGAUACUGGUUGGCUAGAGUAUGGGAGAGGAUGGUAGAAUUCCAGGUGUAGCGGUGAAAUGCGUAGAGAUCUGGAGGAAUACCGAUGGCGAAGGCAGCCAUCUGGCCUAAUACUGACACUGAGGUGCGAAAGGAUGGGGAGCAAACAGG